RNAcentral lists this ribosomal RNA (750 nucleotides) under Micrococcus sp. RNAcentral's name for it is "bacterial SSU rRNA". It matches the Rfam family "Bacterial small subunit ribosomal RNA", at positions 94 to 856 of the family's 1533-position model. Lineage: Bacteria; Bacillati; Actinomycetota; Actinomycetes; Micrococcales; Micrococcaceae. The record is from RNAcentral.
AGUGGCGAACGGGUGAGUAACACGUGAGUAACCUGCCCUUAACUCUGGGAUAAGCCUGGGAAACUGGGUCUAAUACCGGAUAGGAGCGCCUACCGCAUGGUGGGUGUUGGAAAGAUUUAUCGGUUUUGGAUGGACUCGCGGCCUAUCAGCUUGUUGGUGAGGUAAUGGCUCACCAAGGCGACGACGGGUAGCCGGCCUGAGAGGGUGACCGGCCACACUGGGACUGAGACACGGCCCAGACUCCUACGGGAGGCAGCAGUGGGGAAUAUUGCACAAUGGGCGCAAGCCUGAUGCAGCGACGCCGCGUGAGGGAUGACGGCCUUCGGGUUGUAAACCUCUUUCAGUAGGGAAGAAGCGAAAGUGACGGUACCUGCAGAAGAAGCACCGGCUAACUACGUGCCAGCAGCCGCGGUAAUACGUAGGGUGCGAGCGUUAUCCGGAAUUAUUGGGCGUAAAGAGCUCGUAGGCGGUUUGUCGCGUCUGUCGUGAAAGUCCGGGGCUUAACCCCGGAUCUGCGGUGGGUACGGGCAGACUAGAGUGCAGUAGGGGAGACUGGAAUUCCUGGUGUAGCGGUGGAAUGCGCAGAUAUCAGGAGGAACACCGAUGGCGAAGGCAGGUCUCUGGGCUGUAACUGACGCUGAGGAGCGAAAGCAUGGGGAGCGAACAGGAUUAGAUACCCUGGUAGUCCAUGCCGUAAACGUUGGGCACUAGGUGUGGGGACCAUUCCACGGUUUCCGCGCCGCAGCUAAC